GGGGAGGCCCUUAUGUAAAUAAGUGCUUUGAAAUAUGUGAAAUCUGCUUUUAACCUUCUAAAUGAAAAGGUAGAUGGAACAGGUCUUGUUUGCAAAAUAAAUUCACGACCUACUUAUCUACCAGCAGUA
Molecule: non-coding RNA, 129 nt
Organism: Pteronotus mesoamericanus
Lineage: Eukaryota; Metazoa; Chordata; Mammalia; Chiroptera; Mormoopidae
Product: small Cajal body-specific RNA 15
Exons: 1
Source: RefSeq, a predicted model, not a curated record